This is a long non-coding RNA of Oreochromis aureus, 883 nucleotides long. The record is from Ensembl. Lineage: Eukaryota; Metazoa; Chordata; Actinopteri; Cichliformes; Cichlidae.
GAAGAAUGAAGGGACCCUGCAGCGAAACGGAGAGCCAACCUCUGACUGAGUGCCUGUCUACACAGUCUGACCACCUGUUGAAGGGCUGUUUGAUGACGAUUUGGACUCCUCUGGGAGAUGAGGACACACCCACAUCUGUUCCAUACUGCAGCCAUUGAUGGUGUUACAGCUCUGAGUCAGCUUUGGGCCAUCAGACGCACACACUGGAAAACCAGCACCUGGACUUCAUGCAGGAGAGACGGCCUCAGUGAUAAUUCAUCAGCAGCUGUGGAGAGAUGCAUUUGAAUAUCUUCUGGUUCCACUCUUCCUUACCUGGAAGCUGAGGAUGGCUGAUUUCUGACAAGGACACAAACCUCAGUGCUUAUCAUGGGUGUUACAUCCUCUGUGCAGCAAUUCCAGAGAAAACAAGAGAGCAACGACCACUCAUUAAGACCAGACAGAAAUCUGUCCCUUUCUGGCAGCUGUGGAAACUUCCAAUAAGAAAGUUUGCAUUCUUAGAACAAUGCUGGAUCAUGUGUGAUGUGUCAUCAUAUGAGGAUAUUACAUUUUGACUUAAUUCUGCUCAAUUAAGUGUUUUGUUCGUUGAUCCAGUAUGGCAGCUUUGUGUUGUGCUGCAAGUUAAAACCCAUUGUCCUCAUGAGCACAGCAUCUAACAACUCUCCUUAAAAAAAGUCGAUUGACUUUAACUGGACACAAUGGUUUCCAGUGGGAGAUACAUUCAUCAGUCAUCCGUGACACUGGAGAAGUCACCUGGAUGAGUGAUCAAUAUAUAUAAAAUAUAUGUGUGUGUGUGUGUGUGUGUGAUCUUUGUUUUCUCCAAUUCACCAGGUCUGUAAAGUUCAGUACGACUGUGGUACAUGAUACAAAAGAAUAAAUACAGAAG